RNAcentral lists this transfer RNA (72 nucleotides) under Streptomyces olivaceus. Its description in RNAcentral is "tRNA-Lys". It matches the Rfam family "tRNA". Rfam says of the family: Transfer RNA (tRNA) molecules are approximately 80 nucleotides in length. Their secondary structure includes four short double-helical elements and three loops (D, anti-codon, and T loops). RNAcentral also lists the same sequence under 4 other names. Lineage: Bacteria; Bacillati; Actinomycetota; Actinomycetes; Kitasatosporales; Streptomycetaceae. The record is from RNAcentral.
GCCGCUAGCUCAGUUGGUUAGAGCAGCUGACUCUUAAUCAGCGGGUCCGGGGUUCGAGUCCCUGGCGGCGCA